CUACAUUCAGUUGGGCACUCUAAUGAGACUGCCGGUGACAAGCCGGAGGAAGUGGGGAUGACGUCAAGUCCUCAUGGCCCUUAUAGUGGGGCUACACACGUCAUACAAUGGCUGGUACAAAGGGUUGCCAACCCGCGAGGGGGAGCCAAUCCCAUAAAGCCAGUCGUAGUCCGGAUCGUAGUCUGCAACUCGACUACGUGAAGUCGGAAUCGCUAGUAAUCGUGGAUCAGAAUGUCACGGUGAAUACGUUCCCGGGUCUU
Molecule: ribosomal RNA, 260 nt
Filed under: uncultured Rhodoferax sp.
Lineage: Bacteria; Pseudomonadati; Pseudomonadota; Betaproteobacteria; Burkholderiales; Comamonadaceae
Description: partial 16S ribosomal RNA
Rfam family: Bacterial small subunit ribosomal RNA
Source: RNAcentral